This 460-nucleotide ribosomal RNA is filed under the name uncultured bacterium. RNAcentral describes it as "partial 16S ribosomal RNA". It matches the Rfam family "Bacterial small subunit ribosomal RNA", at positions 338 to 795 of the family's 1533-position model. The record is from RNAcentral.
CCUACGGGUGGCAGCAGUGAGGAAUAUUGGUCAAUGGACGAGAGUCUGAACCAGCCAAGUAGCGUGAAGGAUGACUGCCCUAUGGGUUGUAAACUUCUUUUAUAUGGGAAUAAAAUGUGCCACGUGUGGGAUUUUGUAUGUACCAUAUGAAUACGGAUCGGCUAACUCCGUGCCAGCAGCCGCGGUAAUACGGAGGAGCCGAGCGUUAUCCGGAUGUAUUGGGUGUAAAGGGAGCGUAGGUGGAUAGGUAAGUCAGUAGUGAAAGUUUGCGGCUCAACCGUAAAACUGCAGUUGAAACUGGCAGGCUUGAGUGCAGUAGAGGUAGGCGGAAUUCGUGGUGUAGCGGUGAAAUGCGUAGAUAUCACGAAGAACACCGGUUGCGAAGGCAGCCCACUGGACUGCAACUGACGCUGAGGCUCGAAAGUGUGGGGAUCAAACAGGAUUAGAUACCCCAGUAGUC